Paramuricea clavata is the source of this 433-nucleotide non-coding RNA. NCBI's taxonomy places the organism in Eukaryota, Metazoa, Cnidaria, Anthozoa, Malacalcyonacea, Plexauridae. The record is from the annotation of a GenBank genome assembly.
GUGAAGUGAGAAGAGCCAUUUAGGCUAAAAUACUUCAUAAGCCAACAAAGGCUGAAGCAUAUAAUCAAAAGGCUAGAUAGUUAAGCCUCGUCAAGUAAACUAAAGUACAUUGGAAUAUUGUGGAAUUAUUAAAGAAGACGGAACACAAAGCAUAAAGAAUAAAGAUUCAAAGUUGUGCUCAGCUCAAACAAAUAGAGAGAUAAGUUGAUAUAUUAAGAAUACUAUAUUAUUAUAAUAUUAUAGAGACGCUAAUUCAUAUUGCUGAAAGUAAAUAAAAAUAUAUAAAAGGUAUAAGGUUUCAUGCUAUUUGUGUUACGGUAGCGUUAAUAUAAUUUGAACCCGAAGCCUAAAGGUUGAAAAUAUACCUAAUUGGAAAAUAUAUUUGACGCAUAAAUAACGCACCAUAACAAUAGGAAAUGAGGGAAAUACGUGA